UACGUAGGGGGCGAGCGUUGUCCGAAUUUACUGGGCGUAAAGCGCGCGUAGGCGGUUUCUUAAGUCUGGGGUGAAAGGUUCAACGCUCAACGUGAGCAGUGCCUUGGAUACUGGGAGACUUGAGUCUGGGAGGGGGUAGUGGAAUUCCUGGUGUAGCGGUGAAAUGCGUAGAUAUCAGGAGGAACACCGGUGGCGAAGGCGGCUACCUGGCCUAAGACUGACGCUGAGGUGCGAAAGCGUGGGGAGCGAACGGG
This 254-nucleotide ribosomal RNA is filed under the name uncultured bacterium. Its description in RNAcentral is "partial 16S ribosomal RNA". It matches the Rfam family "Bacterial small subunit ribosomal RNA", at positions 524 to 776 of the family's 1533-position model. The record is from RNAcentral.